CAGCAGCCGCGGUAAUACGUAGGUGGCAAGCGUUGUCCGGAAUUAUUGGGCGUAAAGGGCUCGCAGGCGGUUUCUUAAGUCUGAUGUGAAGGCCCCCGGCUCAACCGGGGAGGGUCAUUGGAAACUGGGAAACUUGAGUGCAGAAGAGGAGAGUGGAAUUCCACGUGUAGCGGUGAAAUGCGUAGAGAUGUGGAGGAACACCAGUGGCGAAGGCGACUCUCUGGUCUGUAACUGACGCUGAGGAGCGAAAGCGUGGGGAGCGAACAGGAUUAGAUACCCCGGUAGUCCCUGUCUCUUAUAU
RNAcentral lists this ribosomal RNA (301 nucleotides) under uncultured bacterium. Its description in RNAcentral is "partial 16S ribosomal RNA". It matches the Rfam family "Bacterial small subunit ribosomal RNA", at positions 509 to 809 of the family's 1533-position model. The record is from RNAcentral.